GAUGAAGAACGCAGCGAAAUGCGAUAAGUAGUGUGAAUUGCAGAAUUCAGUGAAUCAUCGAAUCUUUGAACGCACAUUGCGCCCCUUGGUAUUCCAUGGGGCAUGCCUGUUCGAGCGUCAUUUGUACCCUCAAGCUUUGCUUGGUGUUGGGUGUUUGUCCCGCGUUGCGCGUGGACUCGCCUUAAAGCGAUUGGCAGCCGGCAUAUUGGCCUUGGAGCGCAGCACAUUUUGCGCUUCUAGUCAUGAAUGUUGGCGUCCAUUAAGCCUAUACAUUUGCUCUUGACCUCGGAUCAGGUGGGACUACCCGCUGAACUUAAGCAUAUCAAUAAGCGGAGGA
This 337-nucleotide unclassified non-coding RNA is filed under the name soil metagenome. RNAcentral describes it as "partial contains 5.8S ribosomal RNA, internal transcribed spacer 2, and large subunit ribosomal RNA". The stretch from base 1 to 120 matches the Rfam family "5.8S ribosomal RNA", at positions 35 to 154 of the family's 154-position model. The record is from RNAcentral.